UACCAGCACCCCGAGUGGUCGGGACGAUUAUUGGGCCUAAAGCAUCCGUAGCCGGUCCUGCAAGUCUUCCGUUAAAUCCAGCUGCUUAACAGGUGGGCUGCGGAAGAUACUAUAGAGCUAGGAGGCGGGAGAGGCAAGCGGUACUCGAUGGGUAGGGGUAAAAUCCGUUGAUCCAUUGAAGACCACCAGUGGCGAAGGCGGCUUGCCAGAACGCGCUCGACGGUGAGGGAUGAAAGCUGGGGGAGCAAACCGG
This 253-nucleotide ribosomal RNA is filed under the name uncultured bacterium. RNAcentral describes it as "partial 16S ribosomal RNA". It matches the Rfam family "Archaeal small subunit ribosomal RNA", at positions 474 to 727 of the family's 1478-position model. The record is from RNAcentral.